Molecule: small RNA, 125 nt
Filed under: Marmota monax (woodchuck)
Lineage: Eukaryota; Metazoa; Chordata; Mammalia; Rodentia; Sciuridae
Source: RNAcentral
GCCGGGCAUGGUGGUGCAUGUCUGUAAUCCCAGCAGCUCGGGAGGCUGAGGCAGGAGGAUCUCAAGUUCAAAGCCAGCUUCAGCAAAAGUGAGGCCCUGAGCAAUUCAUUGAGACUCUGUCUCUA